UGUAGGUAUGCAGCAAUGUGGGCAAAUGAAUAAGCAGCGAUAUGGAAGCAUGUGGUAAAGACAUUGGACGUUGGGCUGAAGCUGUGAUGGAUAGCCGUGAGUGCUGGAUCACGUUGGACUUAUGAAAGAGCUGAAGUAUUAUCCAUCUCGAUGGGGGAAAUCAUCUCUAAAAUCCUUCUGAAGCCAACUGCUGCAGAGGUAUUGAAUCCUGAAGGGCCUGCUGCAUCUCCUCACGGAACAGCCAUCCGGCACCCCACGUAUUAAUGCCAAUUAGCCUGGGAAAGAUGAAAACUUUGGGGACUUAAUGAGCUGAGUUGGCACCUGUUCACUCAGCACUCCAGCCUGUGUCUCUUCAGCUGCUCCCACCAACUGGAUGGUGUCAGGUUUGGCCUUUCUGGGGAAAGGCUGACAAAGGCAUUUUUACUCUAGUGUUUUCCAACUUGUCCUUUACUUUUGGGUGGCUGACCUCAAGAUUUUUGGAGCCACACUCUUCAGAAGCCUCGUUUGAGGCCAUACCCAUAUCCCCACCCAUCCCAUACUCUGCCCCAUAAUGCAGAGGGGCUGAGACUAAGGCCUUGUGUGAAUCGGGAAGACAGCGCCUGUGUGACAUCCCAAAGCAGCCUUUCCACUUAGGGGCUGUGUGAUAGGGCCGAGUGUGGUGCGUGGCACUAAGCAGCUCUGUGAGUGUUGGUGGAAGGACAGUCGCCCAGCACACGGCUGUGUCACAGCGUGUCUACUCCACUAGCACACCGUAGUGCCCAUGAUGGCAUGACCGGCACCCUUACCAGUGCCUGUCCAUGGUAGUGCCCAAGUAAUACCUGUUGCAUGAAUGAAUGAACAAAGGAUGAGUCGUGAUUAGGAGCUCUAGCGGGAGAGAGACCUGGAUUGGAAUCCCAUUGCUAGCACUUCUGUACACUAUGAACACAGGCAGUUUGCUUCCAUCUCUCUCCACCCCUGGUCCUUCACUCUUAUUGGAAGGACCAGUGCUUCUCAUGGUUUUGGGCUUACAUGUAAAGUGCUUACUUAGCCCGGUGUCUGGCACAUAGUAAGUAGUUGUUCUUUUAUUAUUGAUGGAGUAACUUUAAAUAA
Lutra lutra (Eurasian river otter) is the source of this 1089-nucleotide long non-coding RNA. RefSeq lists it as uncharacterized. The transcript has 4 exons. The record is from RefSeq and is a predicted model, not a curated record. NCBI's taxonomy places the organism in Eukaryota, Metazoa, Chordata, Mammalia, Carnivora, Mustelidae.